AUGUAUAAUAAAUAGCCGCAGAUAAACUGUGCUAAGGUAGCAUAAUAAUUUGCUUUAUAAUUGAAAGAUAGAAUGAAAGGUUAAACAUUUAGAAAAAGUUUACUAUAAACUCACAUAAAACUAAGAAAAAAGUAAAAACUCUUUUUUAAAAAAGCGGGACGACAAGACCCUGACAAACUUAUCUUUUAGUUGGGGAAACAAAUUAAUCAUUAUUUAAUCACAACAACACACAAUCUUAAAAUAAACAUAAGAACAGUUACUGCAGGGAUAACAGCGCAAUUACUUUUCAGAGACCUAAUCCAAAAAGUAGAUUACGACCUCGAUGUUGAAUUAAAUUACCUAUUUAAGAGCAAAAUCUUAAUAAGGUGGUCUGUUCGACCAUUAAAAAUUU
Molecule: ribosomal RNA, 391 nt
Filed under: Micropholcus fauroti
Lineage: Eukaryota; Metazoa; Arthropoda; Arachnida; Araneae; Pholcidae
Description: partial 16S ribosomal RNA
Rfam family: Archaeal large subunit ribosomal RNA (bases 154-391)
Source: RNAcentral